GUCCACGCCGUAAACGAUGGAUACUAGCUGUUGGGCGCAAGUUCAGUGGCUAAGCGAAAGUGAUAAGUAUCCCACCUGGGGAGUACGCACGCAAGUGUGAAACUCAAAGGAAUUGACGGGGGCCCGCACAAGCGGUGGAGCAUGUGGUUUAAUUCGAUGAUACGCGAGGAACCUUACCAAGGCUUAAAUGUAGAUUGACCGGUUUGGAAACAGACUUUUUGCAAGACAAUUUACAAGGUGCUGCAUGGUUGUCGU
Molecule: ribosomal RNA, 255 nt
Filed under: uncultured bacterium
Lineage: Bacteria
Description: partial 16S ribosomal RNA
Rfam family: Bacterial small subunit ribosomal RNA
Source: RNAcentral